Molecule: transfer RNA, 74 nt
Filed under: Ensatina eschscholtzii (common Ensatina)
Lineage: Eukaryota; Metazoa; Chordata; Amphibia; Caudata; Plethodontidae
Description: tRNA-Leu
Rfam family: tRNA
About the family: Transfer RNA (tRNA) molecules are approximately 80 nucleotides in length. Their secondary structure includes four short double-helical elements and three loops (D, anti-codon, and T loops).
Source: RNAcentral
AUUAAGAUGGCAGAGCCUGGUAAAUGCAAAAGAUCUAAACCCUUUCUCCGAGAGUUCAAAUCCCUCCCUUAAUA